UACGUAGGGAGCAAGCGUUGUCCGGAUUUAUUGGGCGUAAAGAGCUCGUAGGCGGCUUAGCAAGUCGGGUGUGAAAACUCCAGGCUCAACCUGGAGACGCCACUCGAUACUGCUAUGGCUAGAGUUCGGUAGGGGACCAUGGAAUUCCUGGUGUAGCGGUGAAAUGCGCAGAUAUCAGGAGGAACACCGAUGGCGAAGGCAGUGGUCUGGGCCGAUACUGACGCUGAGGAGCGAAAGCGUGGGGAGCGAACAGG
This 254-nucleotide ribosomal RNA is filed under the name uncultured bacterium. RNAcentral describes it as "partial 16S ribosomal RNA". It matches the Rfam family "Bacterial small subunit ribosomal RNA", at positions 524 to 776 of the family's 1533-position model. The record is from RNAcentral.